AGGAUAUUUUGCAAACGGAAGUUAUUAAUUUUGGUGAACUCUAAUUUAUCCAGUUUUGCUUUGAUUAAUACUUUCUGUGUCUAUCUAAAGCCAAACCCUAGGGUCAGUCAUCUUGUCCCUUCAUAACCUAACCCCUUGGAGACACAGUCAUUGUUAGUCAGUCAGUCCCCAGGGUGUAGCUUUCCGCAAGGGAUUCUAGGCUUUGACUCAUUCAGCAGUCAUUCAGAAAGUCAGAUCAGAGCCAUCAUGCCAAAGGUAAGUGACAGUGAACAGGCACUAGGACACCACAGGCCAGUGUACAGCUGGGUUAGUGUCCUCAGGGAUCUUUCUACCAAACAAAUUUCCCAACCUGCACCAGCCCAGACCUGCACAAUCCUGUCUGACCAGCAAAGAACCUCCUUCAGGGGCCUGAGGCACAGGAUGGCAUUUCCCCCAGUUUAUCUAGUGUGUUUCUAAUUGCUCCUUGAAGAAUUUUUGUCACAGCUGCGUUAAAGUUUGUGUCAAUUCUAACAUGUCAUCUUGAUGGUGGAAUCUGUUGAUUAUCUUUUCAUUCAGUUUGAGCUCUUCCUGGUUCUUGGUAUGAUGAGUGAUUUUUAACUAAAACCUGGGCAUUUUUGUAUUCUGUUAAGAGACUCCAGAUCUCAUUUAAACCUUCUGAUUUUGAUACCACUCCAGUGAGGGAAGGGGCAGAGCUGUCACCUGAUUAUGAUCUGUGUCUCCAAAGGGUUGGGCUAAGAAGAAGAGGCAAGAGAAUUUACCCCAGGGGUUGGUGUUGGUGUUCCACCCUCACUCUGGGGCCUUAACAUUUUUUAGCAUCCUCUAAGCCAUGGUUCUCAACCUUCUCUGUCCAUUCAAGUUACUCACUGGAGCUGUAUCACAGUGGUUUCUUCCUCUGUCCCACAGGUGGCAAACACAAGGCCUGCGGGCCGAAUCCAGCUCUCCACCUUGUUUUAUCCAGCCCAGUACCUUGUUUCUACCAGGCAGCAGCCCCAAGCCCUUGCUUAGCUGUUAAGGAGUAGUUUGUGUAUGUAGUCCUAAAAUUACAUUCAGCCCUUUGAAGGCAACCGCUUAGGCUGCUGUGGCCCCCAGUGAAAAUGAGUUGACACCCCUCCUACCCUGAGACUUUGAUUCACUUGGCCUGGAGUGGAGCUUAGUCAGGGGCAUUUUUAAAAGCUUUCCAGGUCAGUGUUCCUGUGCAGCUAGAAUUGAGAGACGCUACUCUGCAGAGAAAGAGAACUUAAAUAUUGAAUAUCACAUUAUGGAUUCCUACAUUUUUUGAAAGCCUUGGUCUCAGACUGAGGGUUUUGUGUAUGUCCAUUCUCAGUGGUAGUGAGAUGUAACUAGCCACAGGAUAAACCUGGCCCAUCUUCCUGGAGUUUCAGCUUUGCCUGAUUUAAAAAAAAAUCAUGUUUCAAAUUACCUGCUCCUCCUCCUCACCAAAAAAGGCCAAAAAAAUCAAAAGCGAUCUAUUGUGGAGUAGAAUGUAAAAUUUGCAUGCAUUUUAAAGGAGAAAAAAACCCAGGCAGGAUUCUAGGGAAACUCAUAUUCACGGGGAGCCACGAUACCGGGCUCUCCUGCUGGGGUCACUUUGGUGCAACCGCUCUGAGAAGCACCAUGAAGACCUGGGAGGCAGAACAUUGCUGUCUCUGAGUGCCGUCUAUAACUCUAACUGUUCUGUAACCCCGGUGACUGGACUAAUGUGAUGUUUUGUAGUGUGAAUCAUUUUUAUUUAGAGGACUUUACUUUCUUUUAUCAUCUUUAACUGUCAAAGUAGUCAUCCCUGGAAUACUGAUAUUUCUUAUCUUUUUUUUUUUUUUUUUGGUCCGGAGCUCUGGGUGAUGAGAGUCCCAUGGCUCUGAAUUCUAAACUUAGGAAACACUUCUGUUCAUUUUUAGAAGGUUACAGCAGGGAACUGCUGGAUAAUGAGAACUUUCUCAGUCUUUUUGUUCUCACUCCCAAUCACUGUCAGCAUAGAUGAGCUCCUUUCUUUAUGGCCACGGUUUGUAACACCAGUUAAUAGUCUUAGGGGGGACCUGUUUAUUCCGGGGGGAUGCUUCUGACAUUUGAAGAAUGCCAUUUAUUUCUGAGCUGAGCGCCCCUUCCACACUAAUGAUUCCCUUUGUGGGACGUUCUCACAGAGGAUGGGUGCUUCCCGCCCUGCAGGGCUGCUCUCUGGCAGAACUGACAAGUGUGCACAUGAGCUGCUCUCUGUUACCCCAUAUUCAUUGAAAAAUGAAUGUUUCUCUUCACGUGUUAAUCUGAUUUCCUGGAGGUGACCCAGAGUUUGAUGAAAAUAAACUCAUGUAAUUGUAGUACUACAGAAACCAUAUAAACCCUUUGCUUCAGCAUCUCUCCAUUAAAAUGCAGACAUUUGAUACUGUCUUUACAUCGAAGCGUGGACCUUUCUGUGGUGGUUGACUGCAGUUGUUUCAUUGUAUUCCUGAAGAACCUGACUUUGAAGCUGGACUCUAGGUUCAGCUGUAGACUACCUGGAGGUAGUUGAUGAGGUUAAGAGCAUGGGGACCAUGGAAAGACUGUCUGGGUUCUGACCCUGCCUCUGCCACUUGCUAGCUGGGCAAGUUCACUUUUCUGUGUCUCAGCGUCCCCUUCUUUAAAAAUGGGAUAGGAUUUUUAUGAGGAUGUCAUGAAUUAGUACACUGCAAGCUCUAAAACAGUACAUGGCUUAGAACAACAGAUGAAUUAACUGUUGUUAUUGUUUUAAUGGACGUAAAAAUAAAAUAUCCCAGUUUCUGCAGACUGAGACAUCUAUGUGAAAAGGUUUAGUUCCAGAUUGUGCAAUAGGGGAAGGGCAAACCAUAUCCGAGCAGCGAGCGAUGGCAGUGCACAGGGGAGCAAGUAGACUGGCUCACGGGUCUUAGGAGAAAUGAGAGGGGGAUUGUGGUGAUAGGGAGUGGAUCUGAGGGGCCCCUGGACAAGCAGUGCAGGAUUCCAUCGGUGGUCCACCCUUCUGGAGUCCAGUCCCACCCCUCACUCUCUGUGCAUCUCAGGUCAAGGGAAGUACAACCGGUGGACUGGAAGUGGGGGAAUCUUGCUCCCCUUCCUUUGUUGGGAGGAUGAUGCAGAAGUCCCUGAGUCUCUUGCUCAGCCUGAAAUGUGGAGAUCUAUACUCUUGGGCUCCAAGUUUAUAUCUGAAUACAUUUUUUAGAACAGACACUGUUAUUCCUGGUUGUGAGUUCUGAUUUGCUUUUGAAAAGAGUAGUAUAGAAAUAUUGGUGUUAUAUGUCUAGGAUUUUAAGGGUUGAGUAAGCAGUCGAGGGCUGCCAAGGCCAGUCACUUCUACCUCCAAAAUAUCUGUCCUUCAGUCUUUACCUCCACCUCUACUCCUUAGUCAGGUGCCACCAUCUCUUACCUGAACUGCUGUAAUAAUCUCCUUCCUGUUUCCCCGACUUACUUCCUUGACCAUUGCAGUUCAUUUCUCUGUGUAGUAACCAGAGUUAGUUUUAUCACAUGUGAAUUGGAGUCAGGCUGCUUCUUAAAAUUCUUUAGUGGCUUCAUUACACUUUGAGUAAAAUCCAAACUCAUUAUUGUGCCCCACCAAGACCUGUAAGAAGCAUAAGACGUGAUCUGGUUCCUCCCCAUCCUCUCCAGUUCCAUCUUUUACUGAUCCCCUUUGUACUGCAUCUUCAGCCACACAGGGCUUUCAUGUCCCAUAUGUACCCUAUGCUUUACUGCUUCAGGGUCUGUGACCUCAGUGUUGCCUGUGCCGGGAAGGUUUCCCCCUCUUAGGACUCAUGCAUGCUCAGCCCGGACACCCCCUCCUGAAAGGGCUUUCCCUGAGCAUUCUGCUUAUUUCCUUCCAGUAACUUCAUAGUCCAUAGUUAUUGUUUGUUCACUCACUUAUUGUCCGUUUCUUCUACUAGAAUAUAAACUCCACGAGGGGUGUGUUGCAGACUGAUUUAAGCCAGUCUGGCUGUCCAGCACUGCUGGGUUCUUUUGUUCAAUGUUGGUGGCCUCUAGAAUCUAGAAAUAGGUGGGUGCCAUACAUUCCUUCCUACAUGCUCUUGCUACCAGCUGGUAAAUUACACUAAAAACUAUUUCUGGUCUUAAUCCUGCAGGUUUACAGUCAUUUAUUAGCAAGCAGGCACAAUAAAGAGCCACAUGCAGUCUUGUCUCCGAAAAAAUCCCACUUUCUGUUCUUGGGCACUCUGAGUAGCACCAGCAGGAAAGUGCAGGUGCAGUGAGGACAUUCUGAAGAUGGAACCUUCCAGCUGUGGCUCAGUCCAGGCGACAGCCUGAGGACUGGCGAGAAGCAGGGCUGGGCUCCAGGUGCUGAGUGCCGCACUAGGUGUCAGGGUUCUGGCCUUGGCAGGUUCUUAUGUCUUGUUCUUUCAGAGAUGGAGGAAUCUGUGCAACUCCACCAACCAUGUGUCGUGGACAGCACUCAUAUCGCAAAUGACAAUGACCUUUAACAGCCCUUUUGUUAAUUAAUAAACCCUUUGUUAUAUUUUAAAAUACUUGUAUUUAAAGUGCUAAUCAGGAGUGUAAGUUCCUAAUAACAGCGCUUAAAUGCCAGGGUGUCCAUAAAUCUUAGUAAGUAAAUUAUACACACAAUGUGCCUUGCUUGUACUACAGUUCUCCCCAAGUACAGAAAUGACAACAGAUGAGGACCUUGUCUGUUUUAUUUUCUACAGUAUGUCCAUCACUUAAAAUGGUACUGAGUUUAUGGUAGGUGUUGUAUAAGUGAAUAAAAUUAUUUCUGACAGAAGAAAAAAAUCUAUGUUCUAAACAACAAACUUACAAACUUUUGGAGGAAAACUGAUUUUUAAGUUGAGGAUUGGUAACUUGAAAAAUCAACCUUUAUUCUAGAAAUCCAUAAAAUUCUUAUUUUAUCUAGAACAAGUUGAUUUGGUUAUCAUCAGUCAAAAAGUCUGGGAACAUUUUAUGAGUAUGGGAAACAGCACGUCAUUACCAUCCAUAUGCUUAAAAAUGCUGUACAAAUGACAAAAGAUCUUUCAAAUUUUUUUUCAAAGAAAAAAAUUCUUAAAAUUCAGGAAAGACAUAGAAUGCGCUUGAAAGAUUAGA
Phyllostomus discolor (pale spear-nosed bat) is the source of this 5043-nucleotide long non-coding RNA. RefSeq lists it as uncharacterized. The record is from RefSeq and is a predicted model, not a curated record. The transcript is spliced from 3 exons. NCBI's taxonomy places the organism in Eukaryota, Metazoa, Chordata, Mammalia, Chiroptera, Phyllostomidae.